RNAcentral lists this ribosomal RNA (577 nucleotides) under Lacticaseibacillus rhamnosus. RNAcentral's name for it is "bacterial SSU rRNA". It matches the Rfam family "Bacterial small subunit ribosomal RNA", at positions 173 to 738 of the family's 1533-position model. Lineage: Bacteria; Bacillati; Bacillota; Bacilli; Lactobacillales; Lactobacillaceae. The record is from RNAcentral.
AAAUCCAAGAACCGCAUGGUUCUUGGCUGAAAGAUGGCGUAAGCUAUCGCUUUUGGAUGGACCCGCGGCGUAUUAGCUAGUUGGUGAGGUAACGGCUCACCAAGGCAAUGAUACGUAGCCGAACUGAGAGGUUGAUCGGCCACAUUGGGACUGAGACACGGCCCAAACUCCUACGGGAGGCAGCAGUAGGGAAUCUUCCACAAUGGACGCAAGUCUGAUGGAGCAACGCCGCGUGAGUGAAGAAGGCUUUCGGGUCGUAAAACUCUGUUGUUGGAGAAGAAUGGUCGGCAGAGUAACUGUUGUCGGCGUGACGGUAUCCAACCAGAAAGCCACGGCUAACUACGUGCCAGCAGCCGCGGUAAUACGUAGGUGGCAAGCGUUAUCCGGAUUUAUUGGGCGUAAAGCGAGCGCAGGCGGUUUUUUAAGUCUGAUGUGAAAGCCCUCGGCUUAACCGAGGAAGUGCAUCGGAAACUGGGAAACUUGAGUGCAGAAGAGGACAGUGGAACUCCAUGUGUAGCGGUGAAAUGCGUAGAUAUAUGGAAGAACACCAGUGGCGAAGGCGGCUGUCUGGUCUGUA